This 614-nucleotide ribosomal RNA is filed under the name Listeria monocytogenes. RNAcentral's name for it is "bacterial SSU rRNA". It matches the Rfam family "Bacterial small subunit ribosomal RNA", at positions 918 to 1533 of the family's 1533-position model. The record is from RNAcentral. Lineage: Bacteria; Bacillati; Bacillota; Bacilli; Caryophanales; Listeriaceae.
GGCCCGCACAAGCGGUGGAGCAUGUGGUUUAAUUCGAAGCAACGCGAAGAACCUUACCAGGUCUUGACAUCCUUUGACCACUCUGGAGACAGAGCUUUCCCUUCGGGGACAAAGUGACAGGUGGUGCAUGGUUGUCGUCAGCUCGUGUCGUGAGAUGUUGGGUUAAGUCCCGCAACGAGCGCAACCCUUGAUUUUAGUUGCCAGCAUUUAGUUGGGCACUCUAAAGUGACUGCCGGUGCAAGCCGGAGGAAGGUGGGGAUGACGUCAAAUCAUCAUGCCCCUUAUGACCUGGGCUACACACGUGCUACAAUGGAUAGUACAAAGGGUCGCGAAGCCGCGAGGUGGAGCUAAUCCCAUAAAACUAUUCUCAGUUCGGAUUGUAGGCUGCAACUCGCCUACAUGAAGCCGGAAUCGCUAGUAAUCGUGGAUCAGCAUGCCACGGUGAAUACGUUCCCGGGCCUUGUACACACCGCCCGUCACACCACGAGAGUUUGUAACACCCGAAGUCGGUAGGGUAACCUUUAUGGAGCCAGCCGCCGAAGGUGGGACAGAUAAUUGGGGUGAAGUCGUAACAAGGUAGCCGUAUCGGAAGGUGCGGCUGGAUCACCUCCUUU